RNAcentral lists this small nuclear RNA (168 nucleotides) under Suricata suricatta (meerkat). RNAcentral's name for it is "U2 spliceosomal RNA (ENSSSUG00005007681.1)". It matches the Rfam family "U2 spliceosomal RNA". From Rfam's summary of the family: U2 is a small nuclear RNA (snRNA) component of the spliceosome (involved in pre-mRNA splicing). Complementary binding between U2 snRNA (in an area lying towards the 5' end but 3' to hairpin I) and the branchpoint sequence (BPS) of the intron results the bulging out of an unpaired adenosine, on the BPS, which initiates a nucleophilic attack at the intronic 5' splice site, thus starting the first of two transesterification reactions that mediate splicing. Lineage: Eukaryota; Metazoa; Chordata; Mammalia; Carnivora; Herpestidae. The record is from Rfam by way of RNAcentral.
UAUGCUUCUCGGCCUUUUGGCUAAGAUCAAGUGUAGUAUCUGUUCUUAUCAGUAUAAUCUUUCUCUUUUUUAAAUUUUUACUUUUUAUUUGAUGUAUUUCAAAUUUACUGAUAAGGUGCAAGAGUAGUACAAAGAAUUCUCAUAAAUCCCUCACCAGGGGGACUCACU